This 103-nucleotide microRNA precursor is filed under the name Marmota monax (woodchuck). Lineage: Eukaryota; Metazoa; Chordata; Mammalia; Rodentia; Sciuridae. The record is from RNAcentral.
AGUGAGAUAGCUGGGCCAAAUGGUGGUUCCAUUCCAAGUUUUCUGAGGAAUCUCCAUAAUGUUUUCCACAGUGGUUGCACCAAUUUGCAUCCCCAUCAGCAAU